AGGGUGACUUAGCGGCGGACGGGUGAGUAACGCGUGGGCAACCUGCCUUACACAGGGGGAUAACAAUUAGAAAUGAUUGCUAAUACCGCAUAAGACCCCGGUACCGCAUGGUACAGGGGUAAAAACUGAGGUGGUGUAAGAUGGGCCCGCGUCUGAUUAGGUAGUUGGUGGGGUAGAAGCCUACCAAGCCGACGAUCAGUAGCCGACCUGAGAGGGCGACCGGCCACAUUGGGACUGAGACACGGCCCAAACUCCUACGGAAGGCAGCAG
RNAcentral lists this ribosomal RNA (270 nucleotides) under uncultured bacterium. RNAcentral's name for it is "partial 16S ribosomal RNA". It matches the Rfam family "Bacterial small subunit ribosomal RNA", at positions 84 to 354 of the family's 1533-position model. The record is from RNAcentral.